This 592-nucleotide ribosomal RNA is filed under the name Ehrlichia ewingii. RNAcentral's name for it is "bacterial SSU rRNA". It matches the Rfam family "Bacterial small subunit ribosomal RNA", at positions 114 to 741 of the family's 1533-position model. The record is from RNAcentral. Lineage: Bacteria; Pseudomonadati; Pseudomonadota; Alphaproteobacteria; Rickettsiales; Anaplasmataceae.
UGCAUAGGAAUCUACCUAGUAGUAUGGAAUAGCCAUUAGAAAUGAUGGGUAAUACUGUAUAAUCCCUGCGGGGGAAAGAUUUAUCGCUAUUAGAUGAGCCUACGUUAGAUUAGCUAGUUGGUAAGGUAAUGGCUUACCAAGGCUAUGAUCUAUAGCUGGUCUGAGAGGACGAUCAGCCACACUGGAACUGAGAUACGGUCCAGACUCCUACGGGAGGCAGCAGUGGGGAAUAUUGGACAAUGGGCGAAAGCCUGAUCCAGCUAUGCCGCGUGAGUGAAGAAGGCCUUCGGGUUGUAAAACUCUUUCAAUAGGGAAGAUAAUGACGGUACCUAUAGAAGAAGUCCCGGCAAACUCCGUGCCAGCAGCCGCGGUAAUACGGAGGGGGCAAGCGUUGUUCGGAAUUAUUGGGCGUAAAGGGCACGUAGGUGGACUAGUAAGUUAAAAGUGAAAUACCAAAGCUCAACUUUGGAGCUGCUUUUAAUACUGCUAGACUAGAGGUCGAAAGAGGAUAGCGGAAUUCCUAGUGUAGAGGUGAAAUUCGUAGAUAUUAGGAGGAACACCAGUGGCGAAGGCGGCUAUCUGGUUCGAUACU